UCCAGACUCCUACGGGAGGCAGCAGUCGGGAAUAUUGCGCAAUGGAGGAAACUCUGACGCAGUGACGCCGCGUAUAGGAAGAAGGUUUUCGGAUUGUAAACUAUUGUCCACAGGGAAGAUAAAAGACUGUACCUGUGAAGAAAGCUCCGGCUAACUACGUGCCAGCAGCCGCGGUAAUACGUAGGGGGCAAGCGUUAUCCGGAUUUACUGGGUGUAAAGGGAGCGUAGACGGCGUGGCAAGUCAGAUGUGAAAGCCCGGGGCUCAACCCCGGGACUGCAUUUGAAACUGUCAGGCUGGAGUGCAGGAGAGGUAAGUGGAAUUCCUAGUGUAGCGGUGAAAUGCGUAGAUAUUAGGAGGAACACCAGUGGCGAAGGCGGCUUACUGGACUGUAACUGACGUUGAGGCUCGAAAGCGUGGGGAGCAAACAGGAUUAGAUACCCGAGUAUUC
Molecule: ribosomal RNA, 449 nt
Filed under: uncultured bacterium
Lineage: Bacteria
Description: bacterial SSU rRNA
Rfam family: Bacterial small subunit ribosomal RNA
Source: RNAcentral